RNAcentral lists this transfer RNA (74 nucleotides) under bacterium. RNAcentral describes it as "tRNA-OTHER". It matches the Rfam family "tRNA". From Rfam's summary of the family: Transfer RNA (tRNA) molecules are approximately 80 nucleotides in length. Their secondary structure includes four short double-helical elements and three loops (D, anti-codon, and T loops). The record is from RNAcentral.
GGGCACUUGGCCAAAGACCGGUGAAGGCGCUCGGCUACAACCGAGAGACUCGGGUUCAAAUCCCGAAGAGCCCA